GGGGUAUAUAAAACAUGCACGAAAAGACCAAAAUAGAAACACAAAAUAAGUUUAUAAACAAUAUGUUCAGUAUAUAUAUUAAACCAAAGUAGACCAGAAAGCCAACAGGCUUAAUUAUAACUCAUCCAAGGAGUGUCCAUAGACAUGAAAUCAUUAGAUAUGCCAAUCUCUCCUGUGAACUGCCAAAAUACAGACAGCAUGUUACAUGUCCAACCAGAGACAGUAAUAUAUUGCACUUUUACAUCCCAAUAAAAGAUGCACAUCACUCUGUUCCACAAGCAGCUUUGAGGCUCUCUGAUCACUGUUUGGUUCAUCUUAUACCGACCUACAAACAGAAACUUAAAUCUGCUAAACCUGUAGUAAGGACUGUGAAGAGAUGGACCAGCGAAACAGAGCAGGAUGAUUGGAGUGUUUUUGAAGCUGCUACCACCGAUCUGGAUGAACUCACAGAGACUGUAACAUCCUAUAUUAGUUUCUGUGAGGAUGUUUGCAUUCCUACCAGGACUUAUUUAACAUUCAACAAUGAUAAGCCAUGGUUUACAGUAAAACUCAGACAUCUUCGUCAGGCCAAAGAGGAUGCCUACAGAAAUGGGGACAGAGUCUUGUACAAUCAGGCCAGGAACACACUAAAGGAAGAGAUUAGAGCGGCUAAAAAGACCUACGCUAAAAAGUUGGAAGACCUGUUUACUUCCAACGACUCACCUUCAGUGUGGAGAGGACUGAGAGAUAUCACUUACUACAAGACACCAUCCCCCUGCACUGAGGCUAAUCAACGACUUGCUAACGACCUGAAUAAGUUUUAUUGUAGAUUUGAAACCCCCAACACCCAUUCUGACCAUCUUUCUACACAACCGUCAACAGCUCCUGCAAUCCCCCUCUUCACACCUCCUGCUCUUAAAAUCUGUGAAGAUGAUGUGCACCAGGUCUUCAGGAAGAACAAAAGAAGAAAAGCACCAGACCCAGAUGGCGUUACACCAGCCUUUCUGAAAACCUGUGCAGACCAGCUUGCCCCAUCUUUUCACAGAUCUUCAACAGAUCCCUGGAGUUGUGUGAAGUGCCUUCCUGCUUCAAACGCUCCACCAUCAUCCCCAUCCCAAAGAAACCCAAGAUAACACGAUUACAGACCUGUGGCUUUAACAUCUGUCGUCAUGAAGUCAUUUGAAAAACUGGUUCUGGCUUAUCUGAAGGAUAUC
Molecule: long non-coding RNA, 1193 nt
Filed under: Carassius auratus (goldfish)
Lineage: Eukaryota; Metazoa; Chordata; Actinopteri; Cypriniformes; Cyprinidae
Description: lncRNA (ENSCARG00000035549.1)
Source: RNAcentral